This 296-nucleotide ribosomal RNA is filed under the name Amietia fuscigula (dark-throated river frog). RNAcentral's name for it is "partial 28S ribosomal RNA". It matches the Rfam family "Eukaryotic large subunit ribosomal RNA", at positions 2326 to 2601 of the family's 3401-position model. Lineage: Eukaryota; Metazoa; Chordata; Amphibia; Anura; Pyxicephalidae. The record is from RNAcentral.
GACGAGAUUCCCACUGUCCCUACCUACUAUCUAGCGAAACCACAGCCAAGGGAACGGGCUUGGCGGAAUCAGCGGGGAAAGAAGACCCUGUUGAGCUUGACUCUAGUCUGCAACUGUGAAGAGACAUGAGAGGCGUAGGAUAAGUGGGAGGCCCCCGGCCCCCCGCGGGCCCAGGGGCGCCGCCGGUGAAAUACCACUACUCUUAUCGUUUUUUCACUUACCCGGUGAGGCGGGGAGGCGAGCCCCGAGGGGCUCUCGCUUCUGGCUCCAAGCGCCCCGGCGUACCCUCGCCGGGG